UACGGGGGGUGCAAGCGUUAUUCGGAAUUAUUGGGCGUAAAGGGUGCGUAGGCGGUUUUGUAAGUCAGAUGUGAAAUCCCGGGGCUUAACCCCGGAACUGCAUUUGAUACUGCGAGACUUGAGUAUGGGAGAGGGAAGCGGAAUUCCUGGUGUAGAGGUGAAAUUCGUAGAUAUCAGGAGGAACACCGGUGGCGAAGGCGGCUUCCUGGACCAAUACUGACGCUGAGGCACGAAGGCGUGGGUAGCAAACAGGAUUAGAUACCCUGGUAGUCCACGCAGUAAACGUUGAUCACUUGGUGUCGCGGGUAUUGACCCCUGCGGUGCCGUAGCUAACGCGUUAAGUGAUCCGCCUGGGGAGUACGAUCGCAAGAUUAAA
This 376-nucleotide ribosomal RNA is filed under the name uncultured bacterium. Its description in RNAcentral is "bacterial SSU rRNA". It matches the Rfam family "Bacterial small subunit ribosomal RNA", at positions 524 to 898 of the family's 1533-position model. The record is from RNAcentral.